AGUGAACGCUGGCGGUAGGCCUAACACAUGCAAGUCGAACGGCAGCACAGUAAGAGCUUGCUCUUACGGGUGGCGAGUGGCGGACGGGUGAGGAAUACAUCGGAAUCUACUUUUUCGUGGGGGAUAACGUAGGGAAACUUACGCUAAUACCGCAUACGACCUACGGGUGAAAGCAGGGGAUCUUCGGACCUUGCGCGGUUGAAUGAGCCGAUGUCGGAUUAGCUAGUUGGCGGGGUAAAGGCCCACCAAGGCGACGAUCCGUAGCUGGUCUGAGAGGAUGGUCGGCCACACUGGAACUGAGACACGGUCCAGACUCCUACGGGAGGCAGCAGUGGGGAAUGUUGGACAAUGGGCGCAAGCCUGAUCCAGCCAUACCGCGUGGGUGAAGAAGGCCUUCGGGUUGUAAAGCCCUUUUGUUGGGAAAGAAAAGCAGCAGGUUAAUACCCCGCUGUUCUGACGGUACCCAAAGAAUAAGCACCGGCUAACUUCGUG
RNAcentral lists this ribosomal RNA (492 nucleotides) under uncultured bacterium. Its description in RNAcentral is "partial 16S ribosomal RNA". It matches the Rfam family "Bacterial small subunit ribosomal RNA", at positions 29 to 507 of the family's 1533-position model. The record is from RNAcentral.